UCCCCCUUAGCUCAGCGGUAGAGCGCUUCACUCGUAUAUCAGUAUGGCAGAGUUGAUGAAGAGGUCAGUCGUUCAAAUCGGCUAGGGGGAA
This is a non-coding RNA of Paramarasmius palmivorus, 91 nucleotides long. NCBI's taxonomy places the organism in Eukaryota, Fungi, Basidiomycota, Agaricomycetes, Agaricales, Marasmiaceae. The record is from the annotation of a GenBank genome assembly.